ACGAACGCUGGCGGCGUGCCUAAUACAUGCAAGUCGAACGGUCUUUCUAUGGAAGCUUGCUUCCACUGAGAAGAUAGUGGCGAACGGGUGAGUAACACGUGGGUAACCUGCCCAUAAGAGGGGGAUAACAUCCGGAAACGGGUGCUAAUACCGCAUAGUUUUCUUGAUCGCAUGAUCGGGAAGGAAAGACGGCCUUUGUGCUGUCGCUUAUGGAUGGACCCGCGGCGUAUUAGUUAGUUGGUGAGGUAACGGCUCACCAAGACGAUGAUACGUAGCCGACCUGAGAGGGUGAUCGGCCACAUUGGGACUGAGACACGGCCCAAACUCCUACGGGAGGCAGCAGUAGGGAAUCUUCCGCAAUGGACGAAAGUCUGACGGAGCAACGCCGCGUGAGUGAAGAAGGUUUUCGGAAUCGUAAAACUCUGUUGUCAGAGAAGAACAAGUUGGAGAGUAACUGCUCCAGCCUUGACGGUAUCUGACCAGAAAGCCACGGCUAACUACGUGCCAGCAGCAGC
Molecule: ribosomal RNA, 515 nt
Filed under: uncultured bacterium
Lineage: Bacteria
Description: bacterial SSU rRNA
Rfam family: Bacterial small subunit ribosomal RNA
Source: RNAcentral